UUCCUGGAAAGGAAAAACAAAACAAAACAAAAAACACUGGAAUUAUAUUGUGUUUGUUUCUCUGGCUUUUUCUCUAAAGUUAAUGUUUAAACAGACACAUGAUGUGGGCAGCAGGGCCAGCAGCAGUCCCUAAGCUCCCUCACGAUCUUUUACCCAGAAAAAUCUGAACCGCAAGAGGUGACAACUCCCUCGUCUGCCAAAUCUUUUGUUAAAUUCAGCUUUCCGGAUACAACUGGUGGAAGAAAAGGGAGAAUGCGGGUUGCACAGCAGUAGGUUCUAGGCAGAGGUCAGUGAUUGAUCAGUUGUAUGCAUCAUUAUAUCAGGUGCCCUCCUUAAUGCCCAUCAUCCAGUUACCCCAUCCUUCCACCCACUCUCCUCCAGCAACCCUCAUCCUACAGUUCUGAAAAUGCUCCAAAGCCAUAAAGGUGAAAUGAGUAUCUUGUUAUAACUGAAGGUGACUUAUGGACCCCACCAUACAUCACUACCUCCAGGGAGGAGAGAGGAGCUGGAGACUGACCAACCAGCGGCCAAUGGCUUGGUCAAUCAUAAUUAUAUACUGAAGCCACAAAAACAAAAAAACCCAAAGAGGACAGAUUUUCAGAGAGCUUCCACACUUAGGAAACCAGAACCCUCCCUCAUACCACCAGGCCGGGCCCCAACCUCUCUUGUUUGGGACCUCACCCUAUGUAUCUCUUCAUCUUAUUAUUGAUUU
Molecule: long non-coding RNA, 712 nt
Organism: Mustela lutreola (European mink)
Lineage: Eukaryota; Metazoa; Chordata; Mammalia; Carnivora; Mustelidae
Exons: 3
Source: RefSeq, a predicted model, not a curated record